This 379-nucleotide unclassified non-coding RNA is filed under the name Hevea brasiliensis (rubber tree). The record is from RNAcentral. Lineage: Eukaryota; Viridiplantae; Streptophyta; Magnoliopsida; Malpighiales; Euphorbiaceae.
CUUUCUCUUGAUAUGCAGGUGCUGUCUAACUGUUAAGGUGAGUUCUUUAUUGAUGAUUACUACUUUUAGCUGUAUUGAUUUCAUGAAUCUUUACUCCAUGCCUGUAGAAGUAGCUGUAGUAUGGAAAAUUCUUUCCAUUUGUUUAAUUUGUACUUCAAUUUCAUUAUUCUAACUAAAACUUGUUUUGCUAAAUGCAUUAAGUUAUAUGCAAAUGCGACUUUUCACAAUCAAUUCCUACAACUUGAAUUUAUUCUGCAUGAUGAAUGGAAAUUAUAAACGAAUCUUUUAUGUUUUAAAAUGAUUUUUCCCCCUGUUCCUUUGGUGGGGCAUGAGAUUAUGAGAAAUCAGCUAAUGUCUAUUGCCAUUUGACAUUACUACC